GAAGCAAAUACGAUUUGUAACAGAGGCUCCUCCUGGACACCUUCUGUUCCUAACCAUGUCCGAUGUCAAGUUUUCAAGAAGCGAAGGUAACAUGUCCCCCGACAAGUGGCUCUGGUCUCUGAAAGAAAUUAUCACCAAAACAUCUAAAUAUGUGCCAUCAGCACUUGCUGAACAAAACGCUAGGUGCAUGUAAAAGUCUAGAAAAAAGGAAAAAGAAGUUCAAAGACUUGAUAUAAGAAAUGUCACAAAUUGCAUGUGUUACUUAAGAAAGGACAGAAAUUUAUUUUCAAAGAUUUGACUCCAAGUAUUGGCAAAGAUGUCGGGAAAGAGACUUAACUACACUGUUGGAAAUGUCCACCGUGGAAGCUUCUAAUAAGAUCUGACAGCUUGUUUCAAAAUGAUCUGAUCCCUGGCCAUCUCUCCCCAUCAUCCGUUUGCUCCAGGAACACUCUUUUCCCUCAACUUCUAGAACAGUAAGUACAUGCUCAUUCCAGCAUCUGGGCCUUUACCUCUGCUUCUCCUUCAUUCUGAGAGGUUCUCCCUUCGCUCAUUCAAAGAGCUAGCUUGUACCAUAGCUUAAAUGUCACCACUUUUGACAGCAGGUGUCCCUCCUACCGCCAUUAUUUUUUACUUCAGCACUUUUAACUCCUUUAUAGUACAGAUGGACCCCAACUUACAAUGGUUUCCCUUAUGAUUUUUCACUUUAUGAUGGUGCAAAAGCGAUAUGCUAUACUUUGAAUUUUGAAUUGUGAUCUUUUCCCAGGCUAUCAAUGUGCAGUAUGAUACCCUCUCAUGAUGCUAAGCAGCAGCAGCAAGCCAUAGCACCCAGUCAGCAGGCAAUUGGGAGGAUAAACAAUCAAUACACCUAUAACUACUGUUUUUCACUUUCAGUACAGUAUUCAAUAAACUACAUGAAAUAUUCAACACCUUAUUAUAAAAUAAGCUUUGUGUUAGAUGAUUUUGCCCAACAGUAGGCUAAUGUAAGGGUUCUCAGCAUGUUCAAGGUAGGCUAGGCUAAACUAUGAUGUUCAGUAGAUUAGCUGUAUUAAAUGUGUUUUCAACUUAACAACAAUUUCAAUUUGCAAACAGUUUAUCAGGACAUAACCCCAUAGUAAGUGGAGGAAGAUCUUUACAUAUCACAAUCUGUAAUUCUGUUUAUUCCCUCACUAGAAUGUAAAUGGUAAUAUUUAGAGAAAUUAAGUAACUUACUCAAAAACUUUUUUUUUUUUUUUUUAAUUAUUUAAGCACUUUCUAUGGAUAGGCAAUGUGCUUUUAAGGUACAAAAGGAGGCAGUGUCCCUGCUCUCAUGGAGGUUAGAGUCACAAACACAACUAGUAAGUGAUAGAGUCAAGAGACAUAACCAGGUCUGAUUCUUCAGAGCCCUAUCUCCUUAACCCUUCAACUAUACUGCCACUCUAGCACUAGGAUAUCUGGGAUGGGGGAAGCAGCAAUGUGCUUAAUUGGCUGUUCACAUGCUAAUGAAAACUAAGGCUUGGAGAGUUUAAAUCAUCUGUCCAAAGCUGCACAGGUAGACAUUUGAGAGAUUAAGUACAAUCAUCAGCUAAGGCACAGAGCUUUAAAGUACAGAAAGCGUUCAAGAAACAAAAAGAAUCCAGCUUGACCAGGUAGGGCAAGAGGAAAUG
This is a long non-coding RNA of Lynx canadensis (Canada lynx), 1643 nucleotides long. RefSeq lists it as uncharacterized. Lineage: Eukaryota; Metazoa; Chordata; Mammalia; Carnivora; Felidae. The record is from RefSeq and is a predicted model, not a curated record. The transcript is spliced from 4 exons.